RNAcentral lists this long non-coding RNA (1699 nucleotides) under Salmo salar (Atlantic salmon). Its description in RNAcentral is "lncRNA (ENSSSAG00000108098.1, ENSSSAG00000110947.1)". Lineage: Eukaryota; Metazoa; Chordata; Actinopteri; Salmoniformes; Salmonidae. The record is from RNAcentral.
GAAAUUUAGUUGCUCCAGCUGUACAUAUGUAAACCCAGUAUAAAUAAGUCUAGGGGGGAGUUCACCAAUUUCUGACAUCUUUCAGCAGUGUGGAGACGGCUCAGGAAACACAUGCCUUCCAAGGGGCUAAAACCUUGAUAAGACAAGGAGUCCAGGGACAAAUGACUGAACAAUAUGGACCUCUGCUCAGUGUACUUCUAGUCUCAGAUAUAUAGUAUCUGGCGCCCCAGGGUCUGAUGGGUAUUUCCAUCACAGAGAGAGGAGGAUAAAAAGAAAACGCUCGACAUGGAAACUCCCAGCAAAUCCUGGAAAUGAAACAAAUAACCCGCAGCCAGAACAGGAAAUUAUCCAGCAGGGAGAGUAACAAAGCAGCCUCCUCCAAUGAAGAACGAAUAGGAGGUCAUACCAUAGACAUCAGUGGAGGCUGCGGAAGGAAGAACGGCUCAUAAUAAUGGCUGGAACGGAGCAAAUGGAAUGGCACCAAACCAUGUGUUUAAUGUAUUUGAUACCAUUCCACUCAUUCCACUCCAGCCAUUACCACGAGCGUGUCCUCCCCAAUUAAGAUGCCACCAACCUCCUGUGAUAGACAUAGGCGGAGUUCCCUUCAGGACUUAGUCACCGCAUUGACACUCAUUGGGAGGUGUUCUGGAUUUCAGUGGUGCGUUUGUUGGAUCACUUGUCAAGUUAAAAUAACUUAGGUGGUAAGGGAAAGUUGGAAAUGUGGGAUCAAUAGGUUUUCUCAAUAGGAUCAAAAAGCAGGGAUGUGUAUCUAUCCAAGCCCCUAUGAAUUCCAUCUGAAUUACUGUAUCGCUCCAAGAGUGUCCAAGAGUGUGACUCAUCUUGGAAUUGGUUGACCUUUAGAGCAGGGUUCCCCAACUGGUGGCUCACAAUAAUGGUUGGAAAGGAGCGAAUGGAAUUAAGGUGCCACCAACCUCCUGUGAUACAGCUGAAGCAAGCACACAACUUUUCUUCAGAGCAGAGGAAAAGAAAAGGCCUAUCUCAAGGAGACAGACUAGCCAUAUCUCCAUUAGACACACAGCAUCUGGAAGUGAGCCCCUCUGGAAAACCACCUCUUUGAGGAAGUCCCAAAUGGCACCCUGUUGCCUAUAUAGUGCACUAAUUUUGACCAAGACUCAUUACAAGAAGUGCACUAUAAAGGGAUAGGGUUUCUUUUGGACAGAGGUGUAAAGUAACUAAUUACAGCUACUCUUGUUACUGUAAUUGACUAGCUUUUCCGAGUACUUAUACUUUGAGUAUUUUUGAAAGUCAGUAAUUUUACUUAUACUUGAGGAAAAUUGAAUUAUAGUAACAGUACUUCUAGUUGAGUAGGAUAUUUCACUGCUCUUAAAAGAUACAUUUUGUGAGUGAGGGACUGAGUGAGUGAAGGAAAGAGUGUGAAUGGGGGAGUGAGUGAAUAUCAGCCGGUCCCCUGGACAAGUAACAAGUAACAGAGGGGGGAAUGAGGGAUUGAAUAAGUGAAAGAAUUAGACAUGUUUAUUUAUGGAGUCUGUAUGUAGAAGUACUGUAUAUAGAAGUCUGGCAACUUUGUUUAUUAACUUUAUUUUGUAUAUAUUUUUUUACCAAUACAUCUUCAUUUACUUGAAUGUUUAAGUUGACAAAUGUUAAUAGUAUAUUUUUGACAAAUCCUUCGUUUUCACAUGUAGAUGUGCCUUGCUGCAACUCAUAAAAUAAAUAAAAC